Harpia harpyja (harpy eagle) is the source of this 1904-nucleotide long non-coding RNA. RefSeq lists it as uncharacterized. NCBI's taxonomy places the organism in Eukaryota, Metazoa, Chordata, Aves, Accipitriformes, Accipitridae. The record is from RefSeq and is a predicted model, not a curated record. The transcript has 4 exons.
CUUUGACAGUACCAGUGUUAGAGCAGUACAAUCCUCCUUCGUGUGGAUUUAACAGCAGUGGCAUAAGAAGUAAAAUGACUACAGUCAGUCCCAUAUAGAAAAGGAAUAAAGUUACACUGCUAGAGAUACUUCUAGGCCUAUGUAACUGUGCCCCUCCACCAUCCAAGUAGGAUUUUUGUUUUAGUUAGAGCCCUUUCCUCCUUAUUCACGUGCUAUUUAUAAUGAUACAAGAUCUGCUUAUAUACUAAAUAUUAAAGAACUUUUUCUUCUUAAGAAUGAGAUUCUGCUGCAGUGAAAGGAUUCUGCAAGUCACAAAUACCUGAGGCCAUUUAAAGCAGCCAUCUGAAGAACCACAGAACAAAGUUCAACACCACAGCUGAGGAGGAAGUGACUGAUGUCCGACCCCCCAAACAUCUGAAGUACAGGCAGCCAGAACGGGACAUUCCCUUUCAAGGGGAAGGAUGACAAAACCCUCAAUCUAAGUAACUGGUUCACCACCUCCAGUUAGCAAGGAAACUACAUGAAGACACGGCAAAAACAAGAGUGAUGAAUUCCAGUACCCAGCACGUUUACCUCAGUUGUGAUGUUCCAAAUAACUCAAGUAGCAUGUACCAGUCUACAGGAAUCACUAAUCCUGGAGAAUGCUAUUAUAGUACAGAGUUGAAAUUACAAACAUGGUAAGUCUGCAAUUAUUUGCACAAUGCUAAGACUUAUAAAAUACAUCUGUUCGAAAUUUAAAUGAUUUGUUUAGAAGUUUUCAGACAAGUUAAAGGAGAAGUAGAAGUGGGCUUUAACCUCAGGAAAUGGCUUAUCUGCAAACUGAUUGUACACUGACAUGCAAUAUUAGCUUUUUCUUAAAUUUACUUUCAGAACACAGUCCCAAAGGCAGCUUAAAAUACUUACUUGAGAAAUUACUGGAUAAAUGGUACAGUUGCUACUUUCACCAAGUCAAAAAUAUUCUUCCUUUAUUUACAAAAUCUCUUUAAUCCUUCACAUUGAAAACAAAUAAAAGAAUACAGUUACUAUGAUAAAUUACCACUAAACUGUACUUUUUUCCCCCCACAGGAACUGAAGAAUCCUGCUUUUUAACACCAACUCGGAAGCCUGGAUUAUUGAAGAGCGCUCCACAACAGGAAGAAAACCCAAAAUGUAGUUUCAAAACUUGUGAAAAAAGAAGAGAAGAAUUGCAGUAAAGUUUUCCCUUUUUUCACUAUUUAUUCACCACGAGCCAAGUGUCCCAUGUGUGGCUUAACUUUCCAUAUUUUCAAGGAAGUCACAUUCAACACUCUCUUCAAGCUGUUGCAAGAUCUUUAUGCCAUUACUGCCAAUGUAGUCCAUAGAGAGAGAUGUAGAAGCAUGUGAAGUCUGGGACUCGCUCCCAUUUGUUGUAAAUGCACAACACAGAGUCUUGAAGAAGGGCAUAAGCUGCGUGAUGCUAGAUACAGAGCGGAAGUUCAAAAGAGGAAAUUUGUGCUUCUUGGAAAGUCCCUCAGUGUUGUUUGUUUCCUGUAAGCAAACAAACCGAGAUUUACCAAAGGUUUUGCAUUAAGACACAAUGUUGUUAGGGCUUGUCUGAACCCUGUACUAUACACUUUUUUCAUACUAAGAGAUCCACAGCCUACAACUGUAUCACAAUAUAAAUUGUAUAGAUGGUAUACCGAGUUAUGUCUAUAUUUAGAUUCGAGGUUCCAUUAAACAGCCGUCUCACAAGUUCAGAAGACUGCAAAUUUGGACUAGCCUUCAGAAUCAGGUAUCAAACAACAACAGAAUACAGAGAUAUCUCUGAGAAAUACUAAUGCCCCUAUUUUCUUUCCUGGAAGAAUUAAUAUUAAACCUUAACGGUAAUUGAAAAUGCUGUUAUGGUAAACUUUCUUGACAAAGUACAGCAUGCUCUUUUUUAUAAA